GGGACCAUGGGCGGCUUAUGUUCCACGAUUUUGAGGCCAUUUGCAGCGAGCUCCGCCAGCCUGCCCCUCCCCUGCAGCCGCCACCACCGGCACAGCACCGCCACCAGUGUCUUCGGGGCUUUCUUCAGAGGAGACUGUCAGCAUCCUCAAGUUCCAGGUGCUCUGGCCCCAGUCCUGCUUCUUGACGCUUUUUGCCAGGGGCUGCCUCCCCUUCUCAAUGGCCUGAACCUUGGCCAGUUCCCACAAAGUUUGACGGGAACACAAGGCUGUCACUGACAUUUGUGGCACUAUAACUUACAGGCACGCGUGUUGCACACAUCGGACACUGUGCCACAUGCAGUGACACCAUCUGAGGUGCGCACGCCGCACGCGCACCCCGCACGCGCACGCCGCACCGUCUUGGCUUGGCGUUCUGCACACGCGUGUGUAACGGCUUGGGUUGGCGUUCCUCGCUUGGCUUGGUGUUGGUCGCUUGACUUGACGUUCCUUGCUUGGCUUGGCAUUGGUCGCUUUGCUUCCUGGUCCUUGCGUGGAUUGGCGUUUCCUCCCUCGGCAUUCCUUUGCUGGGCUUGACCUUUCCUUGGCUGGGCUUGGCAUUCCCCUGGCUGGGCUGGGUGUUUCCUUGGCGGGUGGGUGGAGGGGCUUGGCCUUUCCCCGGGUGGGUGUGGGCUUUCCCCCGGGGUGGGAGUGGGAUUUUCCCAGGUGGGUGUGGCCUUGCAAAUACUGCUGGGCUUGGCCUCUCCUCGCCUGGGCUGGGCUCCACUGCUUUGGUGGGUUUUGGCUGUGCUUGACCUUUCUCCUGUAACAGAUUGGAAACCUAGAGUAUCUUGCUUGUUGGUGAAAUUUGUUGGCAGAGGUGAUUGGCUGGCUACUACCUGGCUCCCCAGGCUGGUAAAAGAGGAUGGGGGCUGAGGUUUCUUCAAAGCCGGCUGCCUCUACUAUGAAGAAGCCUUUUGGCCUCAGCAGCAAGAUGGGCAAGUGGUGCUGCCACUGCUUCCCCUCCUGCAGGGGGAGUAGCAAGAACAACGUAGACUCUGGGGGAGACCACGACGACAUCGCCUUUUUGGAGCCAAGGCCCCACAGCACCCUGGAUGUGGAAACCUCGGAGAGGUUGGCGCAAAGUCCUCUUUAUGAGCAACAACACAAAAAAAUUUUGGCUGAUUUCCAAUCAGUAAUAAUUUCCUUUACAUAACACUUAAUAGACUGUUUUAAAGUGGUUUAACUUGCAAGAUUAAGUCGAUGCAGCAGAUUAUUUUUAAUGUACACAUUUAAAACAAUGUUAUAUGCAUUAUAGAAAGGUGUGUAAUGAGAAAUAAUUCCCAUAAUAUAUCGACUUCUGGGCUAAAUAUUCUUCAGAUAAAAUCCAAUGUGCGUUUUAUGUCAAUGUAUCCCUAUAUAAAUAUGUUCUUCACUGAGGAGUCUUAGAAAGAAACUGAAAUGGGAAGAUGGUUCAUGUCCUUGAAUAAGAAGAUUCAUUUUUCUCAAGAUGUGAGUUCUUU
RNAcentral lists this long non-coding RNA (1499 nucleotides) under Rhinopithecus bieti (black snub-nosed monkey). Its description in RNAcentral is "lncRNA (ENSRBIG00000046283.1)". Lineage: Eukaryota; Metazoa; Chordata; Mammalia; Primates; Cercopithecidae. The record is from RNAcentral.